RNAcentral lists this ribosomal RNA (831 nucleotides) under uncultured archaeon. Its description in RNAcentral is "bacterial SSU rRNA". It matches the Rfam family "Archaeal small subunit ribosomal RNA", at positions 20 to 861 of the family's 1478-position model. The record is from RNAcentral.
AAGAUUCGAAUUUGCGAUCGCUCAGCCUGCGAGUCGAGAGGGUUCGGCCCUCGGCUGACGGCUCAGUAACACGUGGAUAAUCUGCCCUAAGGUGGAGGAUAACCUCGGGAAACUGAGAAUAAUACUCCAUAGGUCUAGGAUGCUGGAAUGCACUUAGGCUCAAAACUUCGGUGCCCUAGGAUGAGUCUGCGGACUAUUAGGUUGUAGUCAGGGUAAAGACCUGACUAGCCUACGACGGAUACGGGUUGUGAGAGCAAUAACCCGGAGAUGAUAUCUGAGACACGAUAUCAGGCCCUACGGGGCGCAGCAGGCGCGAAAACUUCGCACUGCGCGAAAGCGCGACGAGGGAAUCCCAAGUGUAUGCACGUAAGUGUAUACUGUUUUUCUGUCUAAAAAGCAGAGAGAGUAAGAGCUGGGUAAGACGGGUGCCAGCCGCCGCGGUAAUACCUGCAGCUCGAGUGGUGAUCGUUAUUAUUGGGCCUAAAACGUCCGUAGCCCGGUCUUGUAAAUGCCUGGGUAAAUCGUAUGGCUUAACCAUACGAAUUCUGGGUAGACUGUUAGACUUGAGACCGGGAGAAGCUAGAGGUACUCCUGGGGUAGAGGUGAAAUUCUGUAAUCCUAGGGGGACCACCAGUGGCGAAGGCGUCUAGCUAGAACGGGUCUGACGGUGAGGGACGAAGCCCUGGGGCGCAAACGGGAUUAGAUACCCCGGUAGUCCAGGGUGUAAACGCUGCUUGCUUGAUGUUAGUCGGGCUUCGAGCCCGAUUAGUGUCGGAGAGAAGUUGUUAAGCAAGCUGCCUGGAAGUACGGCCGCAAGACUGAAACUUAAAG